Molecule: non-coding RNA, 111 nt
Organism: Drosophila melanogaster (fruit fly)
Lineage: Eukaryota; Metazoa; Arthropoda; Insecta; Diptera; Drosophilidae
Source: Ensembl
GGGCAAAUAAAGCACGUUGCUCCCUGUUUACUUGGGUUUUCUGUUCAUUUCGCCUAUCGAACGUUGAACUUAAAAAGCCACGAUCAGUUGUUUAACAUACAGAUAUCUCUG